UGGGGAAUAUUGGGCAAUGGAGGGAACUCUGACCCAGCGACGCCGCGUGCGGGAUGAAGGCCUUCGGGUUGUAAACCGCUUUCAGCAAGGAAGAAGCGAAAGUGACGGUACUUGCAGAAGAAGCACCGGCUAACUAUGUG
RNAcentral lists this ribosomal RNA (140 nucleotides) under uncultured bacterium. Its description in RNAcentral is "partial 16S ribosomal RNA". It matches the Rfam family "Bacterial small subunit ribosomal RNA", at positions 355 to 507 of the family's 1533-position model. The record is from RNAcentral.